GCCCGAGUGGCGGAAUAGGUAGACGCGUUGGACUUAAAAUCCAAUGUCAGUGAUGACGUGCCGGUUCGAGCCCGGCCUCGGGUACCA
Molecule: transfer RNA, 87 nt
Filed under: Candidatus Izemoplasmatales bacterium
Lineage: Bacteria; Bacillati; Mycoplasmatota; Mollicutes; Candidatus Izemoplasmatales
Description: tRNA-Leu
Rfam family: tRNA
About the family: Transfer RNA (tRNA) molecules are approximately 80 nucleotides in length. Their secondary structure includes four short double-helical elements and three loops (D, anti-codon, and T loops). Further hydrogen bonds mediate the characteristic L-shaped molecular structure. tRNAs have two regions of fundamental functional importance: the anti-codon, which is responsible for specific mRNA codon recognition, and the 3' end, to which the tRNAs corresponding amino acid is attached (by aminoacyl-tRNA synthetases). tRNAs cope with the degeneracy of the genetic code in two manners: having more than one tRNA (with a specific anti-codon) for a particular amino acid; and 'wobble' base-pairing, i.e. permitting non-standard base-pairing at the 3rd anti-codon position.
Source: RNAcentral